GAUGAACGCUGGCGGCGUGCCUAAUACAUGCAAGUCGAGCGAACAGACGAGGAGCUUGCUCCUCUGACGUUAGCGGCGGACGGGUGAGUAACACGUGGAUAACCUACCCAUAAGACUGGGAUAACUUCGGGAAACCGGAGCUAAUACCGGAUAAUAUAUUGAACCGCAUGGUUCAAUAGUGAAAGACGGUUUUGCUGUCACUUAUAGAUGGAUCCGCGCCGCAUUAGCUAGUUGGUAAGGUAACGGCUUACCAAGGCAACGAUGCGUAGCCGACCUGAGAGGGUGAUCGGCCACACUGGAACUGAGACACGGUCCAGACUCCUACGGGAGGCAGCAGUAGGGAAUCUUCCGCAAUGGGCGAAAGCCUGACGGAGCAACGCCGCGUGAGUGAUGAAGGUCUUCGGAUCGUAAAACUCUGUUAUUAGGGAAGAACAAAUGUGUAAGUAACUAUGCACGUCUUGACGGUACCUAAUCAGAAAGCCACGGCUAACUACGU
RNAcentral lists this ribosomal RNA (496 nucleotides) under uncultured bacterium. RNAcentral's name for it is "partial 16S ribosomal RNA". It matches the Rfam family "Bacterial small subunit ribosomal RNA", at positions 28 to 506 of the family's 1533-position model. The record is from RNAcentral.